Molecule: ribosomal RNA, 1370 nt
Filed under: Staphylococcus aureus
Lineage: Bacteria; Bacillati; Bacillota; Bacilli; Caryophanales; Staphylococcaceae
Description: partial 23S ribosomal RNA
Rfam family: Bacterial large subunit ribosomal RNA
Source: RNAcentral
CAUGAGUUAUGUCAUGUUAUCGAUAUGUGAAUACAUAGCAUAUCAGAAGGCACACCCGGAGAACUGAAACAUCUUAGUACCCGGAGGAAGAGAAAGAAAAUUCGAUUCCCUUAGUAGCGGCGAGCGAAACGGGAAGAGCCCAAACCAACAAGCUUGCUUGUUGGGGUUGUAGGACACUCUAUACGGAGUUACAAAGGACGACAUUAGACGAAUCAUCUGGAAAGAUGAAUCAAAGAGGGUAAUAAUCCUGUAGUCGAAAAUGUUGUCUCUCUUGAGUGGAUCCUGAGUACGACGGAGCACGUGAAAUUCCGUCGGAAUCUGGGAGGACCAUCUCCUAAGGCUAAAUACUCUCUAGUGACCGAUAGUGAACCAGUACCGUGAGGGAAAGGUGAAAAGCACCCCGGAAGGGGAGUGAAAUAGAACCUGAAACCGUGUGCUUACAAGUAGUCAGAGCCCGUUAAUGGGUGAUGGCGUGCCUUUUGUAGAAUGAACCGGCGAGUUACGAUUUGAUGCAAGGUUAAGCAGUAAAUGUGGAGCCGUAGCGAAAGCGAGUCUGAAUAGGGCGUUUAGUAUUUGGUCGUAGACCCGAAACCAGGUGAUCUACCCUUGGUCAGGUUGAAGUUCAGGUAACACUGAAUGGAGGACCGAACCGACUUACGUUGAAAAGUGAGCGGAUGAACUGAGGGUAGCGGAGAAAUUCCAAUCGAACCUGGAGAUAGCUGGUUCUCUCCGAAAUAGCUUUAGGGCUAGCCUCAAGUGAUGAUUAUUGGAGGUAGAGCACUGUUUGGACGAGGGGCCCCUCUCGGGUUACCGAAUUCAGACAAACUCCGAAUGCCAAUUAAUUUAACUUGGGAGUCAGAACAUGGGUGAUAAGGUCCGUGUUCGAAAGGGAAACAGCCCAGACCACCAGCUAAGGUCCCAAAAUAUAUGUUAAGUGGAAAAGGAUGUGGCGUUGCCCAGACAACUAGGAUGUUGGCUUAGAAGCAGCCAUCAUUUAAAGAGUGCGUAAUAGCUCACUAGUCGAGUGACACUGCGCCGAAAAUGUACCGGGGCUAAACAUAUUACCGAAGCUGUGGAUUGUCCUUUGGACAAUGGUAGGAGAGCGUUCUAAGGGCGUUGAAGCAUGAUCGUAAGGACAUGUGGAGCGCUUAGAAGUGAGAAUGCCGGUGUGAGUAGCGAAAGACGGGUGAGAAUCCCGUCCACCGAUUGACUAAGGUUUCCAGAGGAAGGCUCGUCCGCUCUGGGUUAGUCGGGUCCUAAGCUGAGGCCGACAGGCGUAGGCGAUGGAUAACAGGUUGAUAUUCCUGUACCACCUAUAAUCGUUUUAAUCGAUGGGGGGACGCAGUAGGAUAGGCGAAGCGUGCGAUUGG